RNAcentral lists this ribosomal RNA (403 nucleotides) under uncultured bacterium. RNAcentral describes it as "bacterial SSU rRNA". It matches the Rfam family "Bacterial small subunit ribosomal RNA", at positions 8 to 402 of the family's 1533-position model. The record is from RNAcentral.
AGAGUUUGAUCCUGGCUCAGGACGAACGCUGGCGGCGUGCCUAACACAUGCAAGUCGAGCGAUGAAACCCUUCGGGGUGGAUUAGCGGCGGACGGGUGAGUAACACGUGGGUAACCUGCCUCAAAGAGGGGAAUAGCCUCCCGAAAGGGAGAUUAAUACCGCAUAAUAUGUUUUGAUCGCAUGAUCGAGACAUCAAAGGAUUCUCUUUAGAGUUUCCACUUUGAGAUGGACCCGCGGCGCAUUAGCUAGUUGGUGAGGUAACGGCCCACCAAGGCAACGAUGCGUAGCCGACCUGAGAGGGUGAUCGGCCACAUUGGAACUGAGACACGGUCCAGACUCCUACGGGAGGCAGCAGUGGGGAAUAUUGCGCAAUGGGGGAAACCCUGAUGCAGCAACGCCGCGU